Bactrocera oleae (olive fruit fly) is the source of this 1104-nucleotide non-coding RNA. Lineage: Eukaryota; Metazoa; Arthropoda; Insecta; Diptera; Tephritidae. The record is from RefSeq and is a predicted model, not a curated record.
CACAAUAAACUGGUUUGAGACUCUUUUGCGUCCCAAUGUGAAACGGCACUUACUUGUAGAUGAAUACAAUGGACGAAGAUGAGAAAAUAGUGCGGAGGCAGCAGAGAUCGGAACAAUCCUUUGGCACUGUUGAAUACAGUAGGCUUUUGAAUAUGUCCUAAAUAAUACAGGUAGUGCUACAAUUGGCAGCCACAUCCCACUUUUGGCUAGUGGUAAGCAGUGACUAUUUGGUUAGGAUGUGUCAAAGAACUGUUUCGAAGCUGACAUCACAUGAGCUUAAAGAAAUGGAAACGAAGUUGUGCCCACAGUUUAUACGGUUUGCACCAGAGUAUUCCCUUACAUGGAAGGAAUGGUUUGUGCAGCGUUAUUGGGUGCGUUGAUGGUGUUCACAUCGGCUUGCAAAAAUCAGUAGACGAGCAUAUGUACUUUAAUACAAAAAGCUACCAUAGCAUCAACGCCAUGAUAAUAUGUGACCACACAUACAAAAUUUUGGCUAUCAACUGCCAAUACGGUGGUGCACGAUUCAUUUGUUUGGAAACACUCAAACUCAAGAGUUUUGGAAGAACAAUUUCAGCACAAUGGUAAUGUAAAUUCAUGGCUUUUAGCAGCGGAUUCUGGCUACCCACUGCAAUUAUGUUGCAAAACCCCUUACAGAAACGCUUUGGAUGGUGCAAGUUACGAAGUAUUGGAAUCUUAAAAAGAUGCUGGAUAAUUUUAGGAUAUGACAAGAGAGGGAGAAACCAUCCCACGAAAUUUACAAAAUUUGUUAACGUUUGUGUGGCAUUACAUAACAUCUGCAUAUAAUAUAAAAUAAGUAAUGAUCCUCAAAAUUGCGAUUCUGACUACACACCAGAAAUCAACACCGUGAAGUGAAAUGAAGUAUUCUUUAUUAAAUUUAAGCAGAAAAUAUAUACAGUGGCGAGCAGAUUUGAGUGCAUGUUUACAAAACUGACUUUCAUCACCUAUAAAAACAUAACCACACAAGCAAAUCCAAAAUUUUUUUUGUUUUAUUAUUAAUAUUUAAUUCGUAACAAAUUGUAGUAAAGAAACAAUGACUAAUAAGAAAAAUUCGAAGAGUUUGGAAGAGAAAACGAAAGAUUAUUA